Molecule: ribosomal RNA, 467 nt
Filed under: uncultured bacterium
Lineage: Bacteria
Description: partial 16S ribosomal RNA
Rfam family: Bacterial small subunit ribosomal RNA
Source: RNAcentral
GAUGAACGCUGACAGAAUGCUUAACACAUGCAAGUCAACUUGAAUUUGGGUUUUUAUCUUAGGUUUGGGUGGCGGACGGGUGAGUAACGCGUAAAGAACUUGCCUCACAGCUAGGGACAACAUUUGGAAACGAAUGCUAAUACCUAAUAUUAUGAUAAUAGGGCAUCCUAUAAUUAUGAAAGCUAUAAGCGCUGUGAGAGAGCUUUGCGUCCCAUUAGCUAGUUGGAGAGGUAACGGCUCACCAAGGCGAUGAUGGGUAGCCGGCCUGAGAGGGUGAUCGGCCACAAGGGGACUGAGACACGGCCCUUACUCCUACGGGAGGCAGCAGUGGGGAAUAUUGGACAAUGGACCGAGAGUCUGAUCCAGCAAUUCUGUGUGCACGAUGAAGUUUUUCGGAAUGUAAAGUGCUUUCAGUUGGGAAGAAACAAAUGACGGUACCAACAGAAGAAGUGACGGCUAAAUACGUG